AUAUUGCUCAAUGGGAGAAAUCCUGAAGCAGCAACGCCGCGUGGAGGAUGAAGGGUCUAUGACUUGUAAACUCCUGUAAAGAAGGAAAAAAUUCCCAUUUGAUGGGAGAUGAUGGUACUUCUGGAGUAAGCCCCGGCUAACUACGUGCCAGCAGCCGCGGUAAUACGUAGGGGGCAAGCGUUGUCCGGAUUUACUGGGUGUAAAGGGUGCUCAGGCGGAUUUGUAAGUCAGAGGUGAAAUCUUACAGCUUAACUGUGAAACUGCCUUUGAUACUGCAAGCCUAGGGUAUGGAAGAGAGUGAUGGAAUAUCUGGUGUAGCAGUGAAAUGCGUAUAUAUCAGAUAGAACACCAAUGGCGAAGGCAGUCACUUGGUCCAUUACUGACGCUAAAGCACGAAAGCGUGGGUAGCAAACA
This 414-nucleotide ribosomal RNA is filed under the name uncultured bacterium. RNAcentral's name for it is "bacterial SSU rRNA". It matches the Rfam family "Bacterial small subunit ribosomal RNA", at positions 361 to 774 of the family's 1533-position model. The record is from RNAcentral.